UGGCCAUCCGAGUUGUAAUCUAGAGAAGUGUUACCCGCGUCGGACCGUGUACAAGUCUCCUGGAAUGGAGCGUCAUAGAGGGUGAGAAUCCCGUCUUUGACACGGACUACCGAGGCUUUGUGGUGCGCUCUCAAAGAGUCGAGUUGUUUGGGAAUGCAGCUCAAAAUGGGUGGUAAAUUCCAUCUAAAGCUAAAUAUUGGCGAGAGACCGAUAGCGAACAAGUACCGUGAGGGAAAGAUGAAAAGAACUUUGGAAAGAGAGUUAAACAGUACGUGAAAUUGCUGAAAGGGAAACGCUUGAAGUCAGUCGCGUUGGCCGGAAAUCAGCCUUGCUUUUGCUUGGUGUACUUUCUGGUUGACGGGCCAGCAUCAGUUUUGACCGGUGGAAAAAGUCUGGAGGAAGGUGGCAUCUUCGGAUGUGUUAUAGCCUCUGGUCGUAUACAUCGGUUGGGACUGAGGAACUCANCACGCCGCAAGGCCGGGUCUUUGACCACGUUCGUGCUUAGGAUGCUGGCAUAAUGGCUUUAAUCGACCCGUCUUGAAACACGGACCAAGGAGUCUAACAUGCCUGCNAGUGUUUGGGUGGAAAACCCGAGCGCGUAAUGAAAGUGAAAGUUGAGAUCCCUGUCAUGGGGAGCAUCGACGCCCGGACCAGAAGUUUUCUGACGGCCCUGCGGUAGAGCAUGUAUGUUGGGACCCGAAAGAUGGUGAACUAUGCCUGAAUAGGGUGAAGCCAGAGGAAACUCUGGUGGAGGCUCGUAGC
Molecule: ribosomal RNA, 762 nt
Filed under: Psathyrella panaeoloides
Lineage: Eukaryota; Fungi; Basidiomycota; Agaricomycetes; Agaricales; Psathyrellaceae
Description: eukaryotic LSU rRNA
Rfam family: Eukaryotic large subunit ribosomal RNA
Source: RNAcentral